GAUGAACGCUAGCGAUAGGCUUAACACAUGCAAGUCGAGGGGCAGCAUGGUCUUAGCUUGCUAAGACUGAUGGCGACCGGCGCACGGGUGCGUAACGCGUAUGCAACUUGCCUCACAGAGGGGGAUAACCCGUCGAAAGACGGACUAAUACCGCGUACACUCCACCUUGGGCAUCCAAGGAGGAGGAAAUGAACUUCGCUGUGAGAUAGGCAUGCGUCCCAUUAGCUUGUUGGUGAGGUAACGGCUCACCAAGGCGACGAUGGGUAGGGGAACUGAGAGGUUGAACCCCCACACUGGUACUGAGACACGGACCAGACUCCUACGGGAGGCAGCAGUGAGGAAUAUUGGUCAAUGGGCGAGAGCCUGAACCAGCCAAGUCGCGUGAAGGAUGACUGUCUUAUGGAUUGUAAACUUCUUUUAUACGGGAAUAACAAGAGUCACGUGUGACUCCCUGCAUGU
This 459-nucleotide ribosomal RNA is filed under the name Porphyromonas sp. oral taxon 279. RNAcentral describes it as "bacterial SSU rRNA". It matches the Rfam family "Bacterial small subunit ribosomal RNA", at positions 28 to 476 of the family's 1533-position model. The record is from RNAcentral. Lineage: Bacteria; Pseudomonadati; Bacteroidota; Bacteroidia; Bacteroidales; Porphyromonadaceae.